CGAUUGGUUCUAUUUUGUUGGUUUCUAGGACCAUCGUAAUGAUUAAUAGGGACGGUCGGGGGCAUCAGUAUUCAGUUGUCAGAGGUGAAAUUCUUGGAUUUACUGAAGACUAACUACUGCGAAAGCAUUUGUCAAGGACGUUUUCAUUAAUCAAGAACGAAAGUUAGGGGAUCGAAGAUGAUCAGAUACCGUCGUAGUCUUAACCAUAAACUAUGCCGACUAGGGAUCGGGCGGUGCCUUUUAUUGGCCCACUCGGCACCUUACGAGAAAUCAAAGUUUUUGGGUUCUGGGGGGAGUAUGGUCGCAAGGCUGAAACUUAAAGGAAUUGACGGAAGGGCACCACCAGGAGUGGAGCCUGCGGCUUAAUUUGACUCAACACGGGGAAACUCA
RNAcentral lists this ribosomal RNA (390 nucleotides) under fungal sp. RNAcentral describes it as "SSU rRNA". It matches the Rfam family "Eukaryotic small subunit ribosomal RNA", at positions 827 to 1217 of the family's 1831-position model. The record is from RNAcentral. Lineage: Eukaryota; Fungi.